Long non-coding RNA from Hordeum vulgare subsp. vulgare (domesticated barley), 516 nucleotides. RefSeq lists it as uncharacterized. Lineage: Eukaryota; Viridiplantae; Streptophyta; Magnoliopsida; Poales; Poaceae. The record is from RefSeq and is a predicted model, not a curated record. The transcript has 2 exons.
UGCCAUUCCGGCGGCCUGCCCGCAGUUCGUGCGUUCGUGGUCGUGGCCUCGUCGGCGACCCCGCCCGCCGGGCGGAGGGCCGGCUCAGCUUCUCGCCCGCCGGCGCCCCCCCCCCCCCCCAAGAGGCUGAGGCUCAGCGAGGUAUCCUUCCCUGUUCCCGUCGCCAGUCUACGGAACGGCUCCGCUACCCAUUAUUUUCCUCCCGGCGCGCCGUCGUGUGUCAGGUGGGCAGCCGUGGCUGUGCGCGGCCGCCGCUCAUUCUCGCUCGCCGGCGUCGGAAGCGCCCGUGCUUAUCUCCGUCCUCGCUGCUUCGCGGGCCGAGCAGGGUGAAAGUAGGUCCAAGAAGAGGGCAAUGCACAGACAACUUCCGUGAACAUUACUAAUUUGUUGUUACUAUGUGUUUGAACAAAAAAAAAUCUCACCGCCAGAUUUCUUAAGUAAGUACCUGAAUGCUCUUCAUAUGUCUGUGUUGGGCAAAUAUUCAUUGAUAAAUUGAUAUUGACAUGCAUUGCUGAA